GCCUGGGUGGCUCAGUUGGUUAAGCAUCUGACUUCAGCUCAGUCAUGAUCUCACAGUUCGUGGGGUCAAGUCCCAUGUCAGGCU
RNAcentral lists this transfer RNA (84 nucleotides) under Felis catus (domestic cat). It matches the Rfam family "tRNA". From Rfam's summary of the family: Transfer RNA (tRNA) molecules are approximately 80 nucleotides in length. Their secondary structure includes four short double-helical elements and three loops (D, anti-codon, and T loops). Lineage: Eukaryota; Metazoa; Chordata; Mammalia; Carnivora; Felidae. The record is from Rfam by way of RNAcentral.